This 324-nucleotide ribosomal RNA is filed under the name Triticum aestivum (bread wheat). RNAcentral describes it as "partial small subunit ribosomal RNA". Lineage: Eukaryota; Viridiplantae; Streptophyta; Magnoliopsida; Poales; Poaceae. The record is from RNAcentral.
UGUCGAGGGCUUCGGAACCCUACAACAGUUCGUGAGCUUUGCAAGGUUGUGAAGCAAGAAGGUCCCUCCCUCUUCUUCGUCAUGGAAACAAAGAUUAGGGGUAAGCGUGUGGAAAAUCUGAAAGGUCUAUUAGGUUUUACCGACUGUUUCGCUGUAGACAGUGUCAGUUUGAGUGGCGGUAUUGGCUUAUUCUGGACAGGGGAGCUUCAUGUGGAACUGAAGAAUUAUAGUCAAAAACAUAUUGAUGUGACGGUUAGGAGGAAAGAUAGUGAUCAUCCUCCUUGGCGGUUCACCGGUUUUUACAGAACCUCGAGCAGAAAAUAG